GAUGAAGAACGCAUCGAAAUGCGAUAAGUAAUGCGAAUUGCAGAAUCCGUGAGUCAUCGAAUCUUUGAACGCACAUUGCGCCCCUUGGUUAUUCCGAAGGGCAUGCCUGUUCGAGCGUCAUUAUCACCCCUCAAGCCCUGGAUUGGUGUUGGACUUUAGUUAUGGCUUUGCCUAUCAACUGGUCUCAAAGAUAGUGACGGCGCCCCAGAGGGAACCGGGUACGAGGAGCUUUUUACUAAGCAUGUAUCUGGGACGACUCUGAUGGGCGACGGUAUUGUUAUACUUUUUACCUAAGUGUUGACCUCGGAUCAGGUAGGAAUACCCGCUGAACUUAAGCAUAUCAAUAAGCGGAGGA
RNAcentral lists this unclassified non-coding RNA (355 nucleotides) under soil metagenome. Its description in RNAcentral is "partial contains 5.8S ribosomal RNA, internal transcribed spacer 2, and large subunit ribosomal RNA". The stretch from base 1 to 120 matches the Rfam family "5.8S ribosomal RNA", at positions 35 to 154 of the family's 154-position model. The record is from RNAcentral.